RNAcentral lists this small nucleolar RNA (106 nucleotides) under Gossypium barbadense (sea-island cotton). Its description in RNAcentral is "Plant small nucleolar RNA R71". It matches the Rfam family "Plant small nucleolar RNA R71". Rfam says of the family: R71 is a member of the C/D box family of snoRNAs containing the C (UGAUGA) and D (CUGA) box motifs. Multiple nearly identical copies of this snoRNA have been identified in Arabidopsis, and it is thought to function as a 2'-O-ribose methylation guide for 18S ribosomal RNA. The record is from Rfam by way of RNAcentral. RNAcentral also lists the same sequence under 2 other names. Lineage: Eukaryota; Viridiplantae; Streptophyta; Magnoliopsida; Malvales; Malvaceae.
AACCCAUGGUGAGGGCACCUUCUGAAUAGAUCCUUGUAUCUCUCCCAUGCAUCGUAAAGUGUUUCAAAGUUCAUCUGUACAAAAGAAGAGAUAUCAUUGUGUAAUU